GUCUACGGCCAAACCACCCUGAAAGCAUCCGAUCUUUUCUGAUCUCGAAAGCUAAGCAGGGUUAGGCCUGGCUAGUACUUGGAUGGGAAACUGAGAAAUAGAUUGGAUAGGUAGCUU
Nomascus leucogenys (northern white-cheeked gibbon) is the source of this 117-nucleotide ribosomal RNA. The record is from Ensembl. Lineage: Eukaryota; Metazoa; Chordata; Mammalia; Primates; Hylobatidae.